This 490-nucleotide ribosomal RNA is filed under the name uncultured bacterium. RNAcentral describes it as "partial 16S ribosomal RNA". It matches the Rfam family "Bacterial small subunit ribosomal RNA", at positions 30 to 507 of the family's 1533-position model. The record is from RNAcentral.
AUUGAACGCUGGCGGCAGGCCUAACACAUGCAAGUCGAACGGUAACAGGAAGACGCUUGCUUCUUUGCUGACGAGUGGCGGACGGGUGAGUAAUGUCUGGGAAACUGCCUGAUGGAGGGGGAUAACUACUGGAAACGGUAGCUAAUACCGCAUAACGUCGCAAGACCAAAGAGGGGGACCUUCGGGCCUCUUGCCAUCGGAUGUGCCCAGAUGGGAUUAGCUAGUAGGUGGGGUAACGGCUCACCUAGGCGACGAUCCCUAGCUGGUCUGAGAGGAUGACCAGCCACACUGGAACUGAGACACGGUCCAGACUCCUACGGGAGGCAGCAGUGGGGAAUAUUGCACAAUGGGCGCAAGCCUGAUGCAGCCAUGCCGCGUGUAUGAAGAAGGCCUUCGGGUUGUAAAGUACUUUCAGCGGGGAGGAAGGGAGUAAAGUUAAUACCCUUGCUCAUUGACGUUACCCGCAGAAGAAGCACCGGCUAACUCCGUG